Molecule: long non-coding RNA, 1285 nt
Filed under: Anas platyrhynchos (mallard)
Lineage: Eukaryota; Metazoa; Chordata; Aves; Anseriformes; Anatidae
Description: lncRNA (ENSAPLG00020017097.1)
Source: RNAcentral
CCUCCCGUGCGCAUGCGCCCGCCCCGUUCCCAUAGCAACCGGGCGGGCAGGGGCUGCGGGGCGGGGCGGGCUGUGUGCGGGUGGGUCACGCGAGUCCCUCUUCUUCCCCAAGAUGGCGGCCGGCCGCUCGGCCUCGUACCCAGCAUAGGCUUCGCCGCGGGCCUACUAGAGCCCACAGAGGUGUAGUUUCUCAUGGCUCAGAAUGACAGGCACAGGAAAAGCUCUCUCUAGACAUGGAGGUAACAAUAUCUGCAGGCCUGUAAUGGCCGGGCUGGAAGAGGUGUUGCAACUCUAAUUUGAGCUUUGCCUCCCCUUAUAGACGCUGGUAAGCCUAGAUCGUUCUCCAAAGGCACUUUCCUGAAUGUUUUCUAAGAAGCAGUUAAGGAAGGUUGCUCCUUUUGUAAAUUGUUCCAGCGUUUUCCUCCUGAUAGUGUGGCAGAGAAUCUUUCCCUUCCCUUGGAGCACAGCAGCCUGUUCAGCUGGUGCAGGGUGCAGGUAGGAUCGUGCUGCUGUGUUUGGGAUUUCCCCCAGCGUGCCAGUGCUGCGGGCACAGCAGGCAAGUGGUGCUGAGACCAGGCCGCAGAGUUCAGACUGGGUGUGGUGUGUGGCUGAAAUGGGCAGUCACUGGGACUGGCAGGCAUCUGGGAUUUCUGUAUGGUAUAGGGUUUCUAUGAAAACCUUAUUUCUGUGAUUUUUAAGAAGCCACACAGCAAUGGCUGAACUUUGUUUGGGUUCCUGAAUCUACAGAAGGAAAUCUUCAGGCUCCUACUAUGUACGCUUGUAAAAUGAGCCUUGAAGUAAAAGAGGAAGACUCUAGCAAGUGUCCUCAUGCUUAGAAACUGGCAAGCAGUAAAAACUGGGGUCUGGAAUCUGCCUUUAUGCUUUCCUGGUGGUCAGAAAGAGAAGUUACAGACCCAUCGGUCUCAUUCUGAGCAGAAGCAGGCACCGAGCGUAGUCUGUCAAGGAUAUCCACAGUGAGAACCACCAGCCUGUUAGCACCCUGUGGAUCCCACGCAGCCCGAGCCUACUCUCUGGACGUGACCCUCAUGGCCAUGCUCUCGUGGUGUUGCUGAAGACGUGCGCUGCUGAAGGAGUUGCAACAGGGCUUUUUAAAGUGGGCUGAGGAAGGCAUGCUCACUGGGGUGUAACGAGUCUAACUUGUCCAAGAGCAUGUUCCUGGGAGGCCCAGAGCCCAUAAAACUUUUGCAACAUGGGCCUGUGCAAGAAUUAAGUAGGUGUUGAUUGUGUUAAAAUACCAGAACAGAUAAAGAAGGGAUGUGAAGGA